RNAcentral lists this ribosomal RNA (253 nucleotides) under uncultured bacterium. Its description in RNAcentral is "partial 16S ribosomal RNA". It matches the Rfam family "Bacterial small subunit ribosomal RNA", at positions 524 to 776 of the family's 1533-position model. The record is from RNAcentral.
UACGGAGGGUGCAAGCGUUAUCCGGAUUCACUGGGUUUAAAGGGUGCGUAGGUGGGCUAGUAAGUCCGUGGUGAAAUCUCCAAGCUUAACUUGGAAACUGCCGUGGAUACUAUUAGUCUUGAAUCUCGUGGAGGUAAGCGGAAUAUGUCAUGUAGCGGUGAAAUGCUUAGAUAUGACAUAGAACACCAAUUGCGAAGGCAGCUUACUACGGGAACAUUGACACUGAGGCACGAAAGCGUGGGGAUCAAACAGG